Molecule: ribosomal RNA, 487 nt
Filed under: uncultured bacterium
Lineage: Bacteria
Description: bacterial SSU rRNA
Rfam family: Bacterial small subunit ribosomal RNA
Source: RNAcentral
CGCUGGCGGUGUGCUUAACACAUGCAAGUGGUGCGACGAACCAGAGCUUGCUCUGGGGCAAAGCCGCGAACGGGUGAGUAACACGUGGGUAAUCUACCCCGAUGACCGGGACAACCCGAGGAAACUCGGGCUAAUACCGGAUGUGGUACGGAGACAUAAGUCUCUUUACUAAAGGUAGCUUCGGCUUCCGCAUUGGGAGGGGCCCGCGGCCCAUUAGCUAGUUGGUGGGGUCAAGGCCUACCAAGGCAACGAUGGGUAGCUGGUCUGAGAGGACGAUCAGCCACACUGGGACUGAGACACGGCCCAGACUCCUACGGGAGGCAGCAGUGGGGAAUCUUGCGCAAUGCGCGAAAGCGUGACGCAGCAACACCGCGUGAGGGAAGACGGCCUUAGGGUUGUAAACCUCUUUCAGAUGGGACGAAGGUGAUGCGGUGAAUAGCCGAUGUCAUUGACAGUACCGUCAGAAGAAGCUCCGGCUAACUACGUG